Non-coding RNA from Misgurnus anguillicaudatus (oriental weatherfish), 1377 nucleotides. Lineage: Eukaryota; Metazoa; Chordata; Actinopteri; Cypriniformes; Cobitidae. The record is from RefSeq and is a predicted model, not a curated record.
GAUAGCAGUCAGUUCUGGGCCGAUUCUGGCUUUUUUCCGCCAGUGUCGGCUGAAAGCCGGACAGAUUUUUAGUGUAUGCGCCAGAACUGGCCCAGAUGAGGAAAUAGUAUACCAGUAGUAAACACUAUUUAUAGCUGUUGGCCCGAGUGUAAGCAUACUCAGCUGAAGUCCGGGUCUACUAAAGUAGCGUCUCAGUGUAAUCGGGCCAAAUCUGGCAUUGUGUAGUCGGACCGACUACGUUGCAUUGUGCCUGGACCGAUUAUGGUUUGAUAUGAUACUGCCAAGAUGUGUAUGAUGUCAGAAAUUCAGUAUGUGGCCCGAUACCAGUGGAACUGACACAUGCCGGUUGUAACGCUGUUUGGCGGCAAUUUAAAAAUGUUUAUGCUUCAGACGGACAGUAUACAGUACACGGCCCGAUUCCGUGAUGUGGCAAUCAGCCCUCUAGCUGUUGAACGGCAACAUCACCACUGCUGUUAUGAUUUGAAUCAAGCAGAGCACAAAGCUGAGCUCCCGUUCGACACAGACACCAUCAUCAAUAACUGGUUAACUGGUUGGGGCUUAUUGGCGGGACAGAUGUACGAGACUGCACAUGGCAUAUAUUGAAGAGGGCGACCGACAACUCCCUGGCUUAAAACCUCAACUGUAUGGAAAAGACUUUAUUUGCCACCCUCUAACUCAGAGAGGUAGUGAUUGAUGCAGUUCGGAGAAGGUCCCUUACAGUUGUGGAGGGGACAAUGAAGAGGUGGCUCGAUCGAGAGGGUGGGUGCAAGAGACAACUUUAGCAAAAGAAAAGCAGUUAGUGUUAGCGCCUGUGUUUGAGUCUGCAAAGGAGAAUGUUUUGUGCUGUAAAAAGAGUGGUGGUGUUUUGGUUAAAUGUGUUUAACUUGUUUUAAUUACUUGGCUUGUGUGUGAGAGGUGUGUGUGGGUUGGUAUAUGUGGUUUAUGGGGAAUAGUGUAUAAUGACAUGUUUAAUAUGCUAUAAACAUGCUUUACAGGGACACAAUACUAAGUGGUACUUUUUCAGAUUAAAGACUUCCAACAGAUUUUUGUUAUGGUUGGGCUUAGGGACUGAGGUAAGUUAAGGCAAUAGAAUAUACAGUUUGUACAGUAUAAAAUGCAUUGUGUCUAUGGAAUUGUCCCGGUAAACCACAUAUGCCAAUGUGUGUGUGUGGUGUGUGUAUGAGAGAGAAUUUUUUUCUUUAAAUGUUAAUUAAUUUGUUUUACAUGUUGUCUCGCUGUAAUUGCUUAAGGGGAUAAUUCACCCCAAAAUUGCAAUUUUAUCAUAAAUCACUUCCCCUCUGUCGUUCUAAACCAACAAGUGCUUAGAUUGUCUUUAGAACACGUUUUUAGAUAUUUUUGAUGAAAACUGGGAGGCUU